CAGUAGCCGCGGGAAUACGUAGGUGGCAAGCGUUGUCCGGAAUUAUUGGGCGUAAAGGGCUCGCAGGCGGUUUCUUAAGUCUGAUGUGAAAGCCCCCGGCUCAACCGGGGAGGGUCAUUGGAAACUGGGAAACUUGAGUGCAUAAGAGGAGAGUGGAAUUCCACGUGUAGCGGUGAAAUGCGUAGAGAUGUGGAGGAACACCAGUGGCGAAGGCGACUCUCUGGUCUGUAACUGACGCUGAGGAGCGAAAGCGUGGGGAGCGAACAGGAUUAGAGACCCCUGUAGUCCCUGUCUCUUAUAC
Molecule: ribosomal RNA, 301 nt
Filed under: uncultured bacterium
Lineage: Bacteria
Description: partial 16S ribosomal RNA
Rfam family: Bacterial small subunit ribosomal RNA
Source: RNAcentral